This 270-nucleotide ribosomal RNA is filed under the name uncultured prokaryote. RNAcentral's name for it is "partial 16S ribosomal RNA". It matches the Rfam family "Bacterial small subunit ribosomal RNA", at positions 524 to 794 of the family's 1533-position model. The record is from RNAcentral.
UACGUAGGUGGCGAGCGUUGUCCGGAAUUACUGGGUGUAAAGGGAGCGUAGGCAGGAGUGCAAGUUGAAUGUUAAAUCUAUCGGCUCAACCGAUAGCCGCGUUCAAAACUGCAUUUCUUGAGUGAAGUAGAGGUUGGCGGAAUUCCUAGUGUAGCGGUGAAAUGCGUAGAUAUUAGGAGGAACACCGAUGGCGAAGGCAGGUCUCUGGGCAGUAACUGACGCUGAGGAGCGAAAGCGUGGGGAGCGAACAGGAUUAGAUACCCCGGUAGU